RNAcentral lists this long non-coding RNA (389 nucleotides) under Olea europaea (common olive). Its description in RNAcentral is "long non-coding RNA (OEUR_LNC008323)". The record is from RNAcentral. Lineage: Eukaryota; Viridiplantae; Streptophyta; Magnoliopsida; Lamiales; Oleaceae.
GUAAAUUAAAAUUAAACUUUUAAUAAAUUUUGUUAAAAUAUGGGGUUAAAACAUCGUGGAUCCCAUAAAAUGUGUAGUGAAAAUAAUUGUUGAUUUUAACUUGAAAUUUUAAUCUAUAACAAACAUGGACUUAACUAUAACACUCGCCAUUAAAACUGGUUUAUAAAAGAGAGGCACUCAAUAUAUUUAUAAGAUGAGCCUAUGACUAUGAGCAGGUUUCAAAUGCGGAUAUUGAACUCAAACGUGGUCGUUACAAACUUUUAAAACUUGCUAUGUGAUCCGAACGUACAACCGAGCAUCAGCAUCAAAGUUAGAGAACAAAAUGAAAUCAUGCCUUUCGAUAUCCAAUCCAUCUUGAGUUUCAAAGAGACAAAUCUUUCCACUGNNNN